Molecule: ribosomal RNA, 432 nt
Filed under: uncultured bacterium
Lineage: Bacteria
Description: bacterial SSU rRNA
Rfam family: Bacterial small subunit ribosomal RNA
Source: RNAcentral
AUCGAACGCUGGCGGCAUGCCUUACACAUGCAAGUCGAACGGCAGCACGGGAGCUUGCUCCUGGUGGCGAGUGGCGAACGGGUGAGUAAUACAUCGGAACGUACCCUGAAGUGGGGGAUAACGUAGCGAAAGUUACGCUAAUACCGCAUAUUCUGUGAGCAGGAAAGAGGGGGAUCGCAAGACCUCUUGCUUUAGGAGCGGCCGAUGUCGGAUUAGCUAGUUGGUGAGGUAAAGGCUCACCAAGGCGACGAUCCGUAGCGGGUCUGAGAGGAUGAUCCGCCACACUGGGACUGAGACACGGCCCAGACUCCUACGGGAGGCAGCAGUGGGGAAUUUUGGACAAUGGGCGCAAGCCUGAUCCAGCCAUGCCGCGUGAGUGAAGAAGGCCUGGUGUAAGCUCUUCGUGGGGUAAGGAAAGUAGGCACGGGUUAA